RNAcentral lists this ribosomal RNA (491 nucleotides) under uncultured bacterium. Its description in RNAcentral is "partial 16S ribosomal RNA". It matches the Rfam family "Bacterial small subunit ribosomal RNA", at positions 28 to 507 of the family's 1533-position model. The record is from RNAcentral.
GAUGAACGCUGGCUACAGGCUUAACACAUGCGAGUCGAGGGGAAACGACGGGGAAGCUUGCUUCCCCGGGCGUCGACCGGCGCACGGGUGAGUAACGCGUAUCCAACCUGCCUCUGACUGAGGGAUAACCCGUCGAAAGUCGGCCUAAUACCUCAUGGCAUCGUCUGCGGGCAUCCAACGACGAUUAAAGAUUUCAUCGGUCAGGGAUGGGGAUGCGUCUGAUUAGCUUGUUAGCGGGGUAACGGCCCACCAAGGCUACGAUCAGUAGGGGUUCUGAGAGGAAGGUCCCCCACAUUGGAACUGAGACACGGUCCAAACUCCUACGGGAGGCAGCAGUGAGGAAUAGUGGUCAAUGGGCGGGAGCCUGAACCAGCCAAGUAGCGUGCAGGAUGACGGCCCUAUGGGUUGUAAACUGCUUUUAUGCGGGGAUAAAGUGAGGGACGUGUCCUUCAUUGCAGGUACCGCAUGAAUAAGGACCGGCUAAUUCCGUG